RNAcentral lists this ribosomal RNA (2900 nucleotides) under Escherichia coli. RNAcentral describes it as "23S ribosomal RNA". It matches the Rfam family "Bacterial large subunit ribosomal RNA". Lineage: Bacteria; Pseudomonadati; Pseudomonadota; Gammaproteobacteria; Enterobacterales; Enterobacteriaceae. The record is from RNAcentral.
GGGUUGUGAGGUUAAGCGACUAAGCGUACACGGUGGAUGCCACGGCAGUCAGAGGCGAUGAAGGACGUGCUAAUCUGCGAUAAGCGUCGGUAAGGUGAUAUGAACCGUUAUAACCGGCGAUUUCCGAAUGGGGAAACCCAGUGUGAUUCGUCACACUAUCAUUAACUGAAUCCAUAGGUUAAUGAGGCGAACCGGGGAACUGAAACAUCUAAGUACCCCGAGGAAAAGAAAUCAACCGAGAUUCCCCAGUAGCGGCGAGCGAACGGGGAGGAGCCCAGAGCCUGAAUCAGUGUGUGUGUUAGUGGAAGCGUCUGGAAAGGCGCGCGAUACAGGGUGACAGCCCGUACACAAAAUGCACAUGCUGUGAGCUCGAUGAGUAGGGCGGGACACGUGGUAUCCUGUCUGAAUAUGGGGGACCAUCCUCCAAGGCUAAAUACUCCUGACUGACCGAUAGUGAACCAGUACCGUGAGGGAAAGGCGAAAAGAACCCCGGCGAGGGGAAAAAAAAGAACCUGAAACCGUGUACGUACAAGCAGUGGGAGCCUCUUAAUGGGGUGACUGCGUACCUUUGUAUAAUGGGUCAGCGACUUAUAUUCUGUAGCAAGGUUAACCGAAUAGGGGAGCCGAAGGGAAACCGAGUCUUAACUGGGCGUUAAGUUGCAGGGUAUAGACCCGAAACCCGGUGAUCUAGCCAUGGGCAGGUUGAAGGUUGGGUAACACUAACUGGAGGACCGAACCGACUAAUGUUGAAAAAUUAGCGGAUGACUUGUGGCUGGGGGUGAAAGGCCAAUCAAACCGGGAGAUAGCUGGUUCUCCCGAAAGCUAUUUAGGUAGCGCCUCGUGAAUUCAUCUCCGGGGUAGAGCACUGUUUCGGCAAGGGGUCAUCCCGACUUACCAACCCGAUGCAAACUGCGAAUACCGGAGAAUGUUAUCACGGGAGACACACGGCGGGUGCUAACGUCCGUCGUGAAGACAACCCAGACCGCCAGCUAAGGUCCCAAAGUCAUGGUUAAGUGGGAAACGAUGUGGGAAGGCCCAGACAGCCGGAUGUUGGCUUAGAAGCAGCCAUCAUUUAAAGAAAGCGUAAUAGCUCACUGGUCGAGUCGGCCUGCGCGGAAGAUGUAACGGGCUAAACCAUGCACCGAAGCUGCGGCAGCGACACUAUGUGUUGUUGGGUAGGGGAGCGUUCUGUAAGCCUGUGAAGGUGGCCUGUGAGGGUUGCUGGAGGUAUCAGAAGUGCGAAUGCUGACAUAAGUAACGAUAAAGCGGGUGAAAAGCCCGCUCGCCGGAAGACCAAGGGUUCCUGUCCAACGUUAAUCGGGGCAGGGUGAGUCGACCCCUAAGGCGAGGCCGAAAGGCGUAGUCGAUGGGAAACAGGUUAAUAUUCCUGUACUUGGUGUUACUGCGAAGGGGGGACGGAGAAGGCUAUGUUGGCCGGGCGACGGUUGUCCCGGUUUAAGCGUGUAGGCUGGUUUCCGUGCAAAUCCGGAAAACCAAGGCUGAGGCGUGAUGACGAGGCACUACGGUGCUGAAGUGACAAAUGCCCUGCUUCCGUGAAAGCCUCUAAGCAUCAGGUAACAUCAAAUCGUACCCCAAACCGACACAGGUGGUCAGGUAGAGAAUACCAAGGCGCUUGAGAGAACUCGGGUGAAGGAACUAGGCAAAAUGGUGCCGUAACUUCGGGAGAAGGCACGCUGAUAUGUAGGUGAAGCGACUUGCUCGUGGAGCUGAAAUCAGUCGAAGAUACCAGCUGGCUGCAACUGUUUAUUAAAAACACAGCACUGUGCAAACACGAAAGUGGACGUAUACGGUGUGACGCCUGCCCGGUGCCGGAAGGUUAAUUGAUGGGGUUAGCGGUAACGCGAAGCUCUUGAUCGAAGCCCCGGUAAACGGCGGCCGUAACUAUAACGGUCCUAAGGUAGCGAAAUUCCUUGUCGGGUAAGUUCCGACCUGCACGAAUGGCGUAAUGAUGGCGGGCUGUCUCCACCCGAGACUCAGUGAAAUUGAACUCGCUGUGAAGAUGCAGUGUACCCGCGGCAAGACGGAAAGACCCCGUGAACCUUUACUAUAGCUUGACACUGAACAUUGAGCCUUGAUGUGUAGGAUAGGUGGGAGGCUUUGAAGUGUGGACGCCAGUCUGCAUGGAGCCGACCUUGAAAUACCACCCUUUAAUGUUUGAUGUUCUAACGUUGGCCCCUAAUCGGGGUUGCGGACAGUGUCUGGUGGGUAGUUUGACUGGGGCGGUCUCCUCCUAAAGAGUAACGGAGGAGCACGAAGGUUGGCUAAUCUGGUCGGACAUCAGGAGGUUAGUGCAAUGGCAUAAGCCAGCUUGACUGCGAGCGUGACGGCGCGAGCAGGUGCGAAAGCAGGUCAUAGUGAUCCGGUGGUUCUGAAUGGAAGGGCCAUCGCUCAACGGAUAAAAGGUACUCCGGGGAUAACAGGCUGAUACCGCCCAAGAGUUCAUAUCGACGGCGGUGUUUGGCACCUCGAUGUCGGCUCAUCACAUCCUGGGGCUGAAGUAGGUCCCAAGGGUAUGGCUGUUCGCCAUUUAAAGUGGUACGCGAGCUGGGUUUAGAACGUCGUGAGACAGUUCGGUCCCUAUCUGCCGUGGGCGCUGGAGAACUGAGGGGCUGCUCCUAGUACGAGAGGACCGGAGUGGACGCAUCACUGGUGUUCGGGUUGUCAUGCCAAUGGCACUGCCCGGUAGCUAAAUGCGGAAGAGAUAAGUGCUGAAAGCAUCUAAGCACGAAACUUGCCCCGAGAUGAGUUCUCCUGAGACUUAGAGUCUCCUGAAGGAACGUUGAAGACGACGACGUUGAUAGGCCGGGUGUGUAAGCGCAGCGAUGCGUUGAGCUAACCGGUACUAAUGAACCGUGAGGCUUAACCUUACAACGCCGAAG